GUGAAUCAUCGAAUUUUUGAACGCAAAUUGCACUCUCUGGUAUUCGGGAGAGUAUGCCUGUUUGAGCGUCAGAAAAAAUAAAAAUCUGUGUGUUUGCUGCCUUUCGUGGUGACGCACCGGGUUUGGGUCGUCUUGCCGUCGGUUAAGUGGCCUUAAAUUUUGCAUGAUUUUUUUCGAACGUAUUUAAAUGUUUUUAUGUACGUUUGCGUUAUCGAUU
This 217-nucleotide unclassified non-coding RNA is filed under the name Glomus sp. RNAcentral's name for it is "partial contains 5.8S ribosomal RNA and internal transcribed spacer 2". The stretch from base 1 to 71 matches the Rfam family "5.8S ribosomal RNA", at positions 84 to 154 of the family's 154-position model. Lineage: Eukaryota; Fungi; Glomeromycota; Glomeromycetes; Glomerales; Glomeraceae. The record is from RNAcentral.